This 239-nucleotide ribosomal RNA is filed under the name uncultured Actinomycetales bacterium. RNAcentral's name for it is "partial 16S ribosomal RNA". It matches the Rfam family "Bacterial small subunit ribosomal RNA", at positions 92 to 334 of the family's 1533-position model. The record is from RNAcentral. Lineage: Bacteria; Bacillati; Actinomycetota; Actinomycetes; Actinomycetales.
CAGGUGGCGAACGGGUGAGUAACACGUGGGUGAUCUGCCCUUCACUUCGGGAUAAGCCUGGGAAACUGGGUCUAAUACUGGAUAGGACCAUCGUUUAGUGUCGGUGGUGGAAAGUUUUUUCGGUGGAGGAUGAGCUCGCGGCCUAUCAGCUUGUUGGUGGGGUAAUGGCCUACCAAGGCGACGACGGGUAGCCGGCCUGAGAGGGUGGACGGCCACAUUGGGACUGAGAUACGGCCCAG